AGAGUUUGAUUCUGGCUCAGGACGAACGCUGGCGGCGUGCCUAAUACAUGCAAGUCGAGCGAGCUGAACCAGCAGAUUCACUUCGGUGAUGACGCUGGGAACGCGAGCGGCGGAUGGGUGAGUAACACGUGGGUAACCUGCCCUAAAGUCUGGGAUACCACUUGGAAACAGGUGCUAAUACCGGAUAACAACAAUAGCUGCAUGGCUAUUGCUUAAAAGGCGGCGAAAGCUGUCGCUAAAGGAUGGACCCGCGGUGCAUUAGCUAGUUGGUAAGGUAAUGGCUUACCAAGGCGACGAUGCAUAGCCGAGUUGAGAGACUGAUCGGCCACAUUGGGACUGAGACACGGCCCAAACUCCUACGGGAGGCAGCAGUAGGGAAUCUUCCACAAUGGGCGAAAGCCUGAUGGAGCAACGCCGCGUGAGUGAAGAAGGUUUUCGGAUCGUAAAGCUCUGUUGUUGGUG
RNAcentral lists this ribosomal RNA (462 nucleotides) under uncultured bacterium. RNAcentral describes it as "bacterial SSU rRNA". It matches the Rfam family "Bacterial small subunit ribosomal RNA", at positions 8 to 444 of the family's 1533-position model. The record is from RNAcentral.